Molecule: long non-coding RNA, 105 nt
Organism: Dipodomys spectabilis (banner-tailed kangaroo rat)
Lineage: Eukaryota; Metazoa; Chordata; Mammalia; Rodentia; Heteromyidae
Exons: 3
Source: RefSeq, a predicted model, not a curated record
GCAGACUGAGAGGAUGGAGACUGGGUCAUCAGAAUGUCACAACUGACUCCUUGAAGCCAAAGCAGCAGGAGCCCCAAGAGCUGAGCAGGGGCCCUCAAGUCCAUG